Molecule: ribosomal RNA, 468 nt
Filed under: uncultured bacterium
Lineage: Bacteria
Description: partial 16S ribosomal RNA
Rfam family: Bacterial small subunit ribosomal RNA
Source: RNAcentral
GACGAACGCUGGCGGCGUGCUUAACACAUGCAAGUCGAACGGAACGGCCCUGCUUUUGUGGGGUGCUCGAGUUGCGAACGGGUGAGUAACACGUGAGUAACCUGCCCUUGACUUUGGGAUAACUUCAGGACACUGGGGCUAAUACCGGCUAGGAGCUCCUGCUGCAUGGUGGGGGUUGGAAAGUUUAGGCGGUUGGGCAUGGAAUCGCGUCUUAUCAGCUUGUUGGUGAGGUAGUGGCUUACCAAGGCUUGGAGGGGUAGCCGGGCUGGGAGGGUGACCGGACACGCAGGGCUGGGACUACGACACGGACUCGACUGGGACGGGAGGGAGCGGAAGGGAAUAUUGGGGGAUGGGCGAAAGCGUGACACAGCAGCGCGGGGGGAGUGGUGAAGGCCUUAGGGAUGUACUGCUCCUUGACACGAGAUGAGAAUGACAGUACCGGGAAAAGAAGCACCGGCUAACUACGUG